RNAcentral lists this ribosomal RNA (274 nucleotides) under uncultured bacterium. Its description in RNAcentral is "partial 16S ribosomal RNA". It matches the Rfam family "Bacterial small subunit ribosomal RNA", at positions 523 to 796 of the family's 1533-position model. The record is from RNAcentral.
AUACGGAGGGUGCAAGCGUUACGCGGAAUCACUGGGCGUAAAGCGCGCGCAGGCGGGCUGAUAAGUUGGAUGUGAAAGCCUACGGCUCAACCGUAGAACUGCAUCCAAAACUGUCAGUCUAGAGUCUGGGAGGGGAAGAUGGAAUUAGUUGUGUAGGGGUAAAAUCCGUAGAGAUAACUAGGAAUACCAAAAGCGAAGGCGAUCUUCUGGAACAGUACUGACGCUGAGGCGCGAAAGCGUGGGGAGCAAACAGGAUUAGAAACCCUAGUAGUCC